This 417-nucleotide long non-coding RNA is filed under the name Homo sapiens (human). RNAcentral describes it as "HSALNT0301845". Lineage: Eukaryota; Metazoa; Chordata; Mammalia; Primates; Hominidae. The record is from RNAcentral.
CUUGAACCAGGUGGUGUGGUCAUACUCCUCACCAGGCCUCAGCAGCACAGGAGGGAAGCGGGGCUGUGAAGGGGAAACAACACAGAAAGAUACAAUCUGAGAAGCAACCCUGCAGGACUUGGCUGAAAGUCAACAGGCGGCUGAUCAAAUGAAGCAAUAGAAGCUGUGUAAUUUGUCACAUCAAGCACCUGCGACAAACCCACGCACAAUCCGAGGAAUAGAUGACCAACAUACAUACUUAAAGAAUGUGAACUUUCAACACAACUUGUUCAUAACAAGAUUCUGCAUAUGAGAAAACCAAGAACCAGAAAGACAAGGGAUCUGUCAGGAACACCAUAUGCUGCAACAGAACAAUGACACCUGAGGUGACUUUCCCUUGACUUUCCCUUUCUUUUUUUGUUUUUUUUUUUUUUUUGA